This 467-nucleotide ribosomal RNA is filed under the name uncultured bacterium. Its description in RNAcentral is "partial 16S ribosomal RNA". It matches the Rfam family "Bacterial small subunit ribosomal RNA", at positions 29 to 507 of the family's 1533-position model. The record is from RNAcentral.
ACGAACGCUGGCGGCGUGCUUAACACCUGCCAGUCGAACGGAAAGGCCCUGCUUUUGUGGGGUGCUCGAGUGGCGAACGGGUGAGUAACACGUGAGUAACCUGCCCUUGACUUUGGGAUAACUUCAGGAAACUGGGGCUAAUACCGGAUAGGAGCUCCUGCUGCAUGGUGGGGGUUGGAAAGUUUCGGCGGUUGGGGAUGGACUCGCGGCUUAUCAGCUUGUUGGUGGGGUAGUGGCUUACCAAGGCUUUGACGGGUAGCCGGCCUGAGAGGGUGACCGGCCACAUUGGGACUGAGAUACGGCCCAGACUCCUACGGGAGGCAGCAGUGGGGAAUAUUGCACAAUGGGCGGAAGCCUGAUGCAGCAACGCCGCGUGCGGGAUGACGGCCUUCGGGUUGUAAACCGCUUUCGCCUGUGACGAAGCGUGAGUGACGGUAAUAGGUAAAGAAGCACCGGCUAACUACGUG